Molecule: ribosomal RNA, 253 nt
Filed under: uncultured bacterium
Lineage: Bacteria
Description: partial 16S ribosomal RNA
Rfam family: Bacterial small subunit ribosomal RNA
Source: RNAcentral
GACAGAGGGUGCAAACGUUGUUCGGAAUUACUGGGCGUAAAGCGCACGUAGGCGGCCUGCUAAGUCGGAUGUGAAAGCCCAGGGCUCAACCCUGGAAGUGCAUUCGAAACUGGCGGGCUUGAAUGUCGGAGAGGGCAGUGGAAUUCCGAGUGUAGAGGUGAAAUUCGUAGAUAUCGGGAGGAACACCGGUGGCGAAGGCGGCGAUCUGGGUCGAUACUGACGCUGAGGUGCGAAAGCGUGGGGAGCAAACAGG